This is a long non-coding RNA of Camelus dromedarius (Arabian camel), 527 nucleotides long. RefSeq lists it as uncharacterized. The transcript is spliced from 3 exons. The record is from RefSeq and is a predicted model, not a curated record. Lineage: Eukaryota; Metazoa; Chordata; Mammalia; Artiodactyla; Camelidae.
CUUUGUAAUUUCUUCCUGUUUGUGUAACUCUACAUUCUUCUCUGUACACCUCCCAUCAGGCUUUUUUCCUUUUUUUAAAAUCUUAGUUUCAUGGUACAAUUUAUUAAUGUAUUAGGAAUUUGCCUUUUUAAAAAUCUGUCAAUGUUUGUUAAAGUUAGGAUUUUUCUGUUUAUGUUAGAGCUCUGGUUACAAAGCUGCCAACAGUUUGACAAGUCUGACCAGUCUCAUCUUUCAGGAUUACUUCUCUCUCCAGACAAAACCAGAUAAUUAAAAAAAAGAAUUCUGUCUGCAAAAAGAGUAUUUGCCCAGUGCCACAGAUACUGCAUCUGACAAGCCCAGCGUUCUCAAGGACAGUGAUUGUUAUUUAGCCCACUUUGUCAGUACUGAGUGAGCGGCAGAAAACAGAUGAUAAUUAAGUACUACAUCCCUGUUUUCCAAUCUGUUUCUAUUACCUACAGGAGUUACUGACUCCUUUUUUCCAAAAGAUUGCAUUUGUAUUAUAACAUAUUCUACAGAAUAUGUGCCUG